Ochotona princeps (American pika) is the source of this 90-nucleotide small nucleolar RNA. Its record names the gene SNORD116. It matches the Rfam family "Small nucleolar RNA SNORD116". Rfam says of the family: HBII-85 is a member of the C/D class of snoRNAs, which contain the C (UGAUGA) and D (CUGA) box motifs. HBII-85 is encoded in a tandemly repeated array with another C/D snoRNA, HBII-52, in the Prader-Willi syndrome (PWS) region of chromosome 15. The record is from Ensembl. NCBI's taxonomy places the organism in Eukaryota, Metazoa, Chordata, Mammalia, Lagomorpha, Ochotonidae.
GAAUUGUUGGUGAUGUUCAAAUAUGCAUUCCUGAAAAAGCUGAACAAAAUCACUGAAGCCUAUGCUGUCAUUCUCAUUCAGCUGAGCUUC